GCAGUCAUGGCCGAGUGGUUAAGGCGUUAGAAUAGAAAUCUAAUCCCCUCUGAGGUCUCAGGUUCAAAUCCUGCUGACUGUG
RNAcentral lists this transfer RNA (82 nucleotides) under Hofstenia miamia. Its description in RNAcentral is "tRNA-Ser for anticodon AGA". It matches the Rfam family "tRNA". From Rfam's summary of the family: Transfer RNA (tRNA) molecules are approximately 80 nucleotides in length. Their secondary structure includes four short double-helical elements and three loops (D, anti-codon, and T loops). Lineage: Eukaryota; Metazoa; Xenacoelomorpha; Acoela; Hofsteniidae. The record is from RNAcentral.